This 507-nucleotide ribosomal RNA is filed under the name uncultured bacterium. RNAcentral's name for it is "partial 16S ribosomal RNA". It matches the Rfam family "Bacterial small subunit ribosomal RNA", at positions 29 to 507 of the family's 1533-position model. The record is from RNAcentral.
ACGCACGCUGGCGGCGUGCCUAAUACAUGCCAGUCGAACGCUUCUUUCCUCCCGAGUGCUUGCACUCAAUUGGAAAGAGGAGUGGCGGACGGGUGAGUAACACGUGGGUAACCUACCCAUCAGAGGGGGAUAACACUUGGAAACAGGUGCUAAUACCGCAUAACAGUUUAUGCCGCAUGGCAUAAGAGUGAAAGGCGCUUUCGGGUGUCGCUGAUGGAUGGACCCGCGGUGCAUUAGCUAGUUGGUGAGGUAACGGCUCACCAAGGCCACGAUGCAUAGCCGACCUGAGAGGGUGAUCGGCCACACUGGGACUGAGACACGGCCCAGACUCCUACGGGAGGCAGCAGUAGGGAAUCUUCGGCAAUGGACGAAAGUCUGACCGAGCAACGCCGCGUGAGUGAAGAAGGUUUUCGGAUCGUAAAACUCUGUUGUUAGAGAAGAACAAGGACGUUAGUAACUGAACGUCCCCUGACGGUAUCUAACCAGAAAGACACGGCUAACUACGUG